Molecule: transfer RNA, 76 nt
Filed under: Syntrophaceae bacterium PtaB.Bin038
Lineage: Bacteria; Pseudomonadati; Thermodesulfobacteriota; Syntrophia; Syntrophales; Syntrophaceae
Also listed under: 8 other names
Description: tRNA-Asn
Rfam family: tRNA
About the family: Transfer RNA (tRNA) molecules are approximately 80 nucleotides in length. Their secondary structure includes four short double-helical elements and three loops (D, anti-codon, and T loops).
Source: RNAcentral
UCCCCGGUAGCUCAGUCGGUAGAGCAGCUGGCUGUUAACCAGCGGGUCACAUGUUCGAGUCAUGUCCGGGGAGCCA